Molecule: ribosomal RNA, 421 nt
Filed under: uncultured bacterium
Lineage: Bacteria
Description: bacterial SSU rRNA
Rfam family: Bacterial small subunit ribosomal RNA
Source: RNAcentral
UAAGGAAUAUUGGUCAAUGGACGCAAGUCUGAACCAGCCAUGCCGCGUGAAGGAUGAAGGUCCUCUGGAUUGUAAACUUCUUUUAUCUGGGACGAAAACGGGAUUUUUAUCUCAAUUGACGGUACCAGAGGAAUAAGCACCGGCUAACUCCGUGCCAGCAGCCGCGGUAAUACGGAGGGUGCGAGCGUUAUCCGGAUUUACUGGGUUUAAAGGGUGCGUAGGUGGGCUUAUAAGUCAGUGGUGAAAUCUCCGAGCUUAACUUGGAAACUGCCGUUGAUACUAUAGGUCUUGAAUUAUCUGGAGGUAAGCGGAAUAUGUCAUGUAGCGGUGAAAUGCUUAGAUAUGACAUAGAACACCAAUUGCGAAGGCAGCUUACUACAUAUAAAUUGACGCUGAGGCACGGAAGCGUGGGGAUCAAACA